AUGGCUCUUUGGUAAUAUUUUAUAAAGAGUCUAGCCUGCCCAGUGAUUAAAUUUAACGGCCGCGGUACUCUGACCGUGCGAAGGUAGCAUAAUCAUUUGUCUUAUAAUUGAAGUCUAGAAUGAAUGGUUUAACAAGAGUAAAGCUGUCUCUAUAUAUUCUAUAUAAUUUUAUGAUUAAGUUAAAAAGCUUAAAUUAAAUUAAAAGACGAGAAGACCCUAUCGAGCUUUAGGAAAAUAAUGAAUUUUUUAACAUUGAUGAAUACUAAAUAUUUAAUAAAACUUUAGUUGGGGCGAUUCAGGAACAAAUAAAGCUUCUUGUUAGUAAGUUAAAUUGAUAGAUAUAGGAUCCAUAAUUUAUGAUCAAAAGAAUUAGUUACCGUAGGGAUAACAGCAUUAUCUUUUUUGAGAGCUCAAAUCGAAAAAAAUGUUUGUGACCUCGAUGUUGGACCAAGAUAACCUAAAAGUGUAGAAGUUUUUAAGGGUUGGUCUGUUCGACCAUUAAAAUCUUACGUGAUCUGAGUUCAGACCGG
RNAcentral lists this ribosomal RNA (530 nucleotides) under Marsenia cf. gemma GF-2022. RNAcentral's name for it is "partial large subunit ribosomal RNA". It matches the Rfam family "Bacterial large subunit ribosomal RNA", at positions 1815 to 2619 of the family's 2925-position model. The record is from RNAcentral. Lineage: Eukaryota; Metazoa; Mollusca; Gastropoda; Littorinimorpha; Velutinidae.